UACGUAGGGGGCAAGCGUUGUCCGGAUUUAUUGGGCGUAAAGAGCGUGUAGGCGGUCAGGUAGGUCCGUUGUGAAAACUCGAGGCUCAACCUCGAGACGCCGAUGGAAACCAUCUGACUAGAGUCCGGAAGAGGAGAGUGGAAUUCCGUGGUGUAGCGGUGAAAUGCGCAGAUAUCAGGAAGAACACCGUGGCUAAGGCGGCUCUCUAGUACGGUACUGACGCUGAGACGCGAAAGCGUGGGGAGCGAACAGG
This 253-nucleotide ribosomal RNA is filed under the name uncultured bacterium. Its description in RNAcentral is "partial 16S ribosomal RNA". It matches the Rfam family "Bacterial small subunit ribosomal RNA", at positions 524 to 776 of the family's 1533-position model. The record is from RNAcentral.